CACUUCGGUGACUAGUGGCAAACGGGUGAGUAACGCGUAAGCAACCUGCCCUUAAGUAGGGGAUAACUCUGAGAAAUUAGAGCUAAUACCUUAUGUGGUGAUGGAGGUAAGGCUUCAUCACUAAAGCCUUAGGGCGCUUAAGGAGGGGCUUGCGUCCGAUUAGCUAGUUGGUAGGGUAAUGGCUUACCAAGGCGACGGUCGGUAGCUGGUUUGAGAGGAUGUCCAGCCACACUGGGAUUGAGAUACGGCCCAGACUCCUACGGGAGGCAGCAGCAAGGAAUAUUGUGCAAUGGGCGAAAGCCUGACACAGCGACGUCGCGUGGGGGAUGAAGGCCUUCGGGUUGUAAACCCCUUUUCUCAGGGAAGAGUAAUGACGGUACCUGAGGAAUAAGCCUCGGCUAACUACGUGCCAGCAGCCGCGGUAAUACGUAGGAGGCAAGCGUUAUCCGGAUUUACUGGGCGUAAAGAGGGCGUAGGCGGCUUUUCAAGUCGGAUGUAAAAUCUCCCGGCUUAACUGGGAGGGAUCACCCGAUACUGUUAGGCUAGAGGACAGCAGAGGGAGGUGGAAUUCCCGGUGUAGUGGUGAAAUGCAUAGAUAUCGGGAGGAACACCAGUGGCGAAGGCGGCCUCCUGGGCUGUUUCUGACGCUGAGGCCCGAAAGCGUGGGGAGCGAACAGAAUUAGAUACUCUGGUAGUCCACGCCGUAAACGAUGGACACUAGGUAUGGGGAGUAUCGACCCUCUCCGUGCCGAAGC
Molecule: ribosomal RNA, 755 nt
Filed under: uncultured bacterium
Lineage: Bacteria
Description: bacterial SSU rRNA
Rfam family: Bacterial small subunit ribosomal RNA
Source: RNAcentral